This 519-nucleotide ribosomal RNA is filed under the name uncultured bacterium. RNAcentral's name for it is "bacterial SSU rRNA". It matches the Rfam family "Bacterial small subunit ribosomal RNA", at positions 8 to 524 of the family's 1533-position model. The record is from RNAcentral.
AGAGUUUGAUCAUGGCUCAGGAUGAACGCUGGCUGUGUGCCUAAUACAUGCAUGUCGAGCGAAGCACUUCGGUGCUUAGCGGCAAAUGGGUGAGUAACACGUACUUAACCUACCCCCAAGAUUGGGACAACACCUGGAAACGGGUGCUAAUACCAAAUACGUAUUUUUAUCGCAUGAUAGAAAUAUAAAAGGAGCUUCGGCUUCACUAGGGGAUGGGAGUGCGCUACAUUAGUUAGUUGGUAGGGUAAUGGCCUACCAAGACGAUGAUGUAUAGCGGGGCCGAGAGGCUGAUCCGCCACACUGGGACUGAGAUACGGCCCAGACUCCUACGGGAGGCAGCAGUAGGGAAUUUUCCACAAUGAACGAAAGUUUGAUGGAGCGACACAGCGUGCAGGAUGAAGGUCUUCGGAUCGUAAACUGCUGUUAUAAGAGAAGAAAAACCCUGGUAGGUAAUGACCAGGACUUGACGGUACCUUAUCAGAAAGCGACGGCUAACUAUGUGCCAGCAGCCGCGGUAAU